This 161-nucleotide non-coding RNA is filed under the name Alphaproteobacteria bacterium. Its description in RNAcentral is "6S RNA". It matches the Rfam family "6S / SsrS RNA". Rfam says of the family: E. coli 6S RNA was the first non coding RNA to be sequenced, but its function was unknown until recently. It consists of 184 nucleotides that fold into an extended hairpin structure with a large single-stranded internal bulge. The record is from RNAcentral. Lineage: Bacteria; Pseudomonadati; Pseudomonadota; Alphaproteobacteria.
ACAUGGCUGGGGAACUCGUGAUCUUCUUAUAAUUCCUGGGGCGAAUACGUAUAGAACGGGAGCUAUCCCUGUCUUAAGCUCUGGCUUUUGGUACAUGGCACCCACCUGAUGAUCAAUGUCACAGGUGAAUUUAAAACUGACACGGUUACCCUGGCUAAUUC